Molecule: ribosomal RNA, 446 nt
Filed under: uncultured bacterium
Lineage: Bacteria
Description: SSU rRNA
Rfam family: Bacterial small subunit ribosomal RNA
Source: RNAcentral
AGAGCGAACGCUGGCGGCAGGCCUAACACAUGCAAGUCGAACGCCGUAGCAAUACGGAGUGGCAGACGGGAUAGUAACACGUGGGAACGCGCCCUUCGGUUCGGAAUAACUCAGGGAAACUUGAGCUAAAUACCGGAUACGCCCUUACGGGGAAAGAUUUAUUGCCGAAGGAACGGCCCGCGUCGGAUUAGCUAGUUGGUGAGGUAAUGGCUCACCAAGGCGACGAUCCGUAGCUGGUCUGAGAGGAUGACCAGCAUCACUGGGACUGAGACACGGCCCAGACUCCUACGGGAGGCAGCAGUGGGGAAUAUUGGACAAUGGGCGCAAGCCUGAUCCAGCCAUGCCGCGUGGAUGAUGAAGGCCCUAGGGUUGUAAAGUCCUUUUAACGGGGAGAUAAUGACGGUACCCGUAGAAUAAGCCCCGGCUAACUUCGCGCCAGCAGCCGC